AGCUGGCUACAGGCGUACGAGUGUAGAUAGGCGCUGGGAGCGACACCCGUAAAAAGCGUA
This 60-nucleotide non-coding RNA is filed under the name unclassified sequences. RNAcentral describes it as "GP20-b RNA". It matches the Rfam family "GP20-b RNA". The record is from RNAcentral.